RNAcentral lists this long non-coding RNA (3020 nucleotides) under Musa acuminata (dwarf banana). Its description in RNAcentral is "long non-coding RNA (MACU_LNC000790)". The record is from RNAcentral. Lineage: Eukaryota; Viridiplantae; Streptophyta; Magnoliopsida; Zingiberales; Musaceae.
ACUUAUUCUUUUCUGCAAUUUACAUGAGAAGUUUCAACAUAGAACAUACCGGGAUCUGGCUAGUUGUAUCCAAUAUUAAAGAUUUUGCUAUAAGGAGAUCAAUAAAACCAAACUUGAAAUAUUUAUCUUAAUUGAUCUCAUUUCCAUCCAUCUAUGGCUACAACAACUCAGUUUUUGUACCCUUGGACCUUUAUUCUAAUAAAGCCAAAUUUUCUAUAUCUGCAUGACAUGUAACUUAACAGUUACAUUUUUUUUUACCUGCAAGGGUUGUGAUACUUCAUAUACUACAGUAUAUUGGCAAGCACUCUAUUAUGUAGUACACAGCUACACACUAUCAAGUACUUAACAUCUUCAGUCUAAUUUAUGCCACCACCUCCAUUUCCUUGGUUGCUUCCAUCAUCUCCAUAUGGGGGCUGCUGACUGGUGGCACCACCCCGGCUGUUAUAUUGAUCUCUUGGUAUGCUGUGAUGGUUAUCAACACUGCUGCCAGAAUACCCAAGUGUUGUCUUAACCUUUUCCAUAUCUCCUCUAUCUCUUUGAUCCAGAUGGCCUAGUUUGUGUCUAGCGGAGCUGCAUGUCGCCAUUAUGAGCACAAGAAACAGCAGAAGAGAUACCGACUUCAUUCUGGGUUUCUUUUGCUUCUUUACAAGAAAUAUUUAGUUAAGUAAAAUGGAAGAAACUGCAGAUAAAGUCAGUAUUCACUUGGAGUUUGUUCAGUACAAUAAGAGGAAAAAUGAAAAAGAGAACCUACCUAAUAGAAGAACAACACUAGGGAAAUUUGAGAGGCAGGCCUGUGUUAGAAAAGGGUCAGGAGAUGUACCAGCUUUUAUAGUGAUAACUUAAGUAAAAAAAAUGGUAAUGUGGUCUCCACCAAUUACCGACAUUAUUAAGUGGAUGGGCUCAUGUUUCCGCUAAUGUGUAUCUAAUAUAAUUAAGUGAGAGGACCACAAGAAUUCUGUGAUGUGAAAUUGCACUGCAAAUUGCCCUACUUUUCACUAUGCUUUGUGAUGUAAAAAGUUCUCUUAAGCAUCCACCUCUUUUUUUGUAUAAAUCAAAGGCUGAGUUAUUGUUCAGGGAGCAGGUUCUGCUAUUUAUUUUGGAAAAUUGAUCCUAGUGAGGAUAGAUUUUGACCAUUGACCUUUGUAGAGUUUUGAUUUUCAGUUUUAAUUUACCUUUUAAUACUUGUUUGAAGUUUGAUUUAAUUGAAGAUCCAUAUAUAAUUCAAAUGUACAGGAAAAAUUAAUUGUAAAGGAUGCAUAUAUAGAUGUAUGGCUUAUAGUCAUACUUCAGUGAAAAGAAUAUGAUUAUAAAUAUAAACAUCUUUGUUAAGUUAAAACUACAUGAAAUUAAAUGCUUAAGAAAUGUGUAUGAAUGCAAAGGAUGUGAAUGUGACUGUGAAAAUUUUAGUGGUAAAGAGAAUACAGAUAUAUUUUCAAAUUUUAAAGACAGGUCAAAAUGCAGUUGAAACAUCAGAUUUCCUUAUUAGUCAAGUUUUGUUGGUAAUCAUAAAUUGGGCAUCUGUAGGCCACCAAAUACCAAUGAUUUCUUUCGUUAAUUAUGUAAUAUCAUCACCAACAAAAACUAACUUGUCAUUAUUUCACUUCCAUAUGCAUUGAACCAUUUGCUGAGAAUGAUAUCAGAGUUAGUGGUUUGGUGUUGCUAUGCAUGCAAUUAGGUUUAAGCCAUUAUAGGAUUACAUUUUUGCCACUCAGUGGGCUGCUUCUUUUUGAAAAGUAACUUUUACUUGCCUGUAGGAAAUAUAUCUUCCUUAACUUUACUGAGAUUACCAUUUCAUUGCUUGUUGCCAUCUAAUCCUUGAAUAAAGAAAACUGAGCACCAGACACUUGGCUACCAUUUGAAAAAUCAUCCUCUAAUUUGAUAUUACAUCUGAGAGUACAUUACUGAUAUCACAUGAAACAGCUACUAGAUUCUCUAGUAAAGGAUUAUUCUUUUAUCUCCAUUGCCUGCCUUACAUGUUUACAUGGUUUGCUUCAGAUUGUAUGUAGUAUUGAUGUUGAACAACAUGGUAAGGCUCUGAGGUUCAACCUAGUGCCAAACCAGUAUUAAUAACUACAUUUGAAUGCCUGUAAUAUCAUGAUGCAGGAAGGAAAUCUAUUUAUGAAGACCUCAUGAAUCAUUUUACCACAACACUAUGGCUAUUAAAAGAACAAGCACUAUUUACUGAAGCCUCAUCAUGAAAUAACAUACAUAGAUCUAUUAAUUUGUACUUACUAAGACCAUGUCAUGAAAACAACCUAAACAAUAACAAUCUCUCUAUAUUUAGAGGUAAGUCUGGGUACAUUAACUCUCAUGAUCUCAUAUUGACGGGAGCCUCAUGCAAGAGGUAUAUCUUUUAUAUCAUUUUCUAAUCAUGGGAUUAGUUUUCUAAUCUUAAGGGGCUAUUAUUGUUCACCAUUAAGAAAAGUGGACUCCCUGCAUGUUCUGGAUUUAACCAACUUUUAGGGAACAACCUAAAUUUAGUUAAGAAUGACAAUCACCUACUUCCAACACCUGUUUUUUAUAAAUUCAUCAACUAAAUGUCAGAUAAAUUACUUAAAACCUGGAAUAUAUUUUGGAAAUAAGUUGGUAUUUAAAAUUAGACAUCCUUUCCUAAGUAUAAUUUAUCAUCAUCUUCACACAUGGAUUCUUCCUCUAUUGGUAGGGUUCUCUUUCUGUGUAUAUAUAUAAUCAAGGCUUGCGGUUUUCACCUCUUUUCUCCAUUAAAAUAGGUUUUGAAGACUGAAGACUAGUAGAAAGCUAUAGGGAUUGGGAGAUUGAGGUUUUAAAUGAGAAGAAAUAGAGACUAAGCAAAUUCUUUGCCUUUUAUUCUCAUAGUGCUUGAAAUUAUUGGAUUGGCCUCUUUAGAUGGUUAAUGUUCUUUUACUGAUACAAACUCUACUAGUAUUAGCACUAGUAUUUUAAUCUGACAUUAGUAUAGGCAUACUGAAAAAAGAACAGUGAAGCCAGAUGGAUGAAAUUAUGUCUACAGUACAACAGUACAUAUGAGCAAAUAACUCUAC